Molecule: long non-coding RNA, 204 nt
Organism: Sander lucioperca (pikeperch)
Lineage: Eukaryota; Metazoa; Chordata; Actinopteri; Perciformes; Percidae
Exons: 3
Source: RefSeq, a predicted model, not a curated record
GUCCCGGUCACUGGGGGACCAUCUAGCAGCUUGUAUGCUACUCAGCAUCAAUGGGCCACCUCUUUCUGAAUUCCCCUAUAACCAAGCCUUGGAGUUAUUUUUCCAAAAGCCAAAUUAAAAAAAAAAAGAAAAAUUAAAUGCGCACAGCAAGGCUGCCAACUUUGCCACUGAGGCAAAGAUGCAAUUUGUUUCAUUAUGAAUGGU